This 431-nucleotide unclassified non-coding RNA is filed under the name Hevea brasiliensis (rubber tree). The record is from RNAcentral. Lineage: Eukaryota; Viridiplantae; Streptophyta; Magnoliopsida; Malpighiales; Euphorbiaceae.
GCUCCUCCAUCCGUAGCAUUCUCAAGUUUUAUCUGCUCAACACUUUUGACAAGAGGUUGAGCUCUUUGAGCACUUCGAACUCCAGCUCGAACUUUAAAGCCUAAUUUCAGAAGCUCCCUUACAGUCCGAGAACCAACCCUACCGGUUGCACCAGCAACAAAAACAAGAUUUGCAUCUUUUGAUUUGACAUCUUUUGCAGUUCCUUGAGGUUCCAAUGAGCUAAUUUUUGCUGAAAUUUGAGUUCUGAAACGAAGGGUCUUAAGGUUUUUGGAAUUUGGGCCCCUUUUAGUGCUAGUUUGAAUCAAUGUAAUUGGGUGUCCACACAAAAAUGGCUUCUCUGCUAAAGCAGUUGCAGGGAUAUUGAGUGUCUGCAAGCAACGCAGCUCCAUUAUUGAUUUCGUUGGAACUCUGUUGGAGGUGUGCGUUUAAGG